This 563-nucleotide ribosomal RNA is filed under the name uncultured bacterium. RNAcentral's name for it is "bacterial SSU rRNA". It matches the Rfam family "Bacterial small subunit ribosomal RNA", at positions 338 to 916 of the family's 1533-position model. The record is from RNAcentral.
CCUACGGGAGGCAGCAGUGGGGAAUCUUGCGCAAUGGGCGAAAGCCUGACGCAGCAACGCCGCGUGCGGGAAGAAGGCUUUCGGGCUGUAAACCGCUUUCAGCAGGAACGAAAAUGACGGUACCUGCAGAAGAAGGAGCGGCCAACUAUGUGCCAGCAGCCGCGGUGAUACAUAGGCUUCAAGCGUUGUCCGGAUUUAUUGGGCGUAAAGAGUUCGUAGGCGGUCGAGUAAGUCGGGUGUGAAAAUUCUGGGCUCAACCCAGAGACGCCACCCGAUACUGCUUAACUUGAGUUCGAUAGGGGAGUGGGGAAUUCCUAGUGUAGCGGUGAAAUGCGCAGAUAUUAGGAGGAACACCGGUGGCGAAGGCGCCACUCUGGAUCGAUACUGACGCUGAGGAACGAAAGCAUGGGUAGCAAACAGGAUUAGAUACCCUGGUAGUCCAUGCCGUAAACGGUGGGCACUAGGUGUGGGAUUCUAUUAACGAAUUCCGCGCCGUCGCUAACGCAUUAAGUGCCCCGCCUGGGGAGUACGGUCGCAAGACUAAAACUCAAAUGAAUUGACGG